Molecule: long non-coding RNA, 918 nt
Organism: Lactuca sativa (garden lettuce)
Lineage: Eukaryota; Viridiplantae; Streptophyta; Magnoliopsida; Asterales; Asteraceae
Source: RefSeq, a predicted model, not a curated record
AGUCACAAAUGAAGAAGAAGCGUCGAAGCAGAAGGGCAGUCGAUCAUAGACGCGAAGGGGCAAUCGGCGACCAGAAGGGAGCACGAUGGUUCGUCGCUCGACUCGCAAUCGAUGGCGGCCUCCGGGGUUCGACUAGACUGAAGAAGGAGAAGGAUCGAAGCAGCGAGGCGGCUGUGACCUCGGACUAGAAGAAAGAGACGAAGCAGCGGGGCUGUUUGUCUUCGGUCUUGGAAGGAGUUGCGAAGGGAUGGUCUCCGGGGUCGGCGAGGCUGAAGCAACGACGACGGUAAGAAACAGCGAGGAAGUCGAGGUCUUCGUCUUCAACUGAUCACGGAAGAAACGAAAUAGAAGAGGCAAACAGAGGUGGGGAAUCGGAGUUGGCGAAAAAGCUCCGUCGAGAGAGGGAGAGCCGGCAGCAAAGGGCUGCUACGGCGAUCUCUUUUCUUUUCUGGUUCGAUCGGCAUCAACUCACGAAGGAGGAGGAAGGACUUCGGUCCACUGCCUUUGUCUGAUCGAGAAGAAUAAUCCGGUCGGAAGCAGUCACAAGGGUGGUUCGAUGGUGGUUGCAGAUGGGAGUUGUAAGGGGGAAGGUGGGUGGCAUCGGUGAUUGAGGAAGCUGGCGAGAGUAGCAGCUCGGGUGGGGCGUUUGGUUGGUUCAUCUUCAACCUAAAAAUGAACGGAAUCAGUAAUAGGUGGGAAGAGUUGGAACGAAAGGGGAAACAGAAGGUGGGUUUACUGUCUUCACCCAGAUUUUGGAAGACUUUUUGAUGGAUUUGUGGUACUUGGAAAUCUUGGAAGGAUUUUGAGAGGGCAUUGUACUUAUUGGUUCAUGUGUCUAACUGUGAUGUAUUAAUUGUGUAUAGUGUGGUGUAUUGAUUGUGUAUAGUGUGGUGUAUUAUUGAUUAUGUAUUUGUUUAA